Numida meleagris (helmeted guineafowl) is the source of this 1592-nucleotide long non-coding RNA. The record is from Ensembl. Lineage: Eukaryota; Metazoa; Chordata; Aves; Galliformes; Numididae.
AUGGGGAUUUUGGGGUAAGAGUCUGGGUUUUAGGGUCUUGAAUUGGGUGUGGGGGCAUUGAGUUGGGGUUUGGGGUUAGAAAUGGGGAUUUUGGGGUAAGAAGUUUGGGUUUUGGGGUCUGGAGUUGGGGGGGGCGGGAAUUGGGGUCUGGGGUGCAGGAGUUUGGGGUUUGGGGUUAGAAAUGGGGAUUUUGGGGUAAGAAGACUUGAGUUUUGGGGUCUGGAGGAGGUGGGGGCAAGAAUUGGGGUCUGGGUGCACUGAGUUGGGGUUUGGGGUUAAAAGUAGGGAUUUUGGGGUCAGAAGUUUGAGUUUUAGGAUCUUUGAGUUGGAACUUGGGGCCAUGAGUUGGGGUUUGGGGGCUGGCAUUGGGGUUUGGGGAUAAAAAUGGGGAUUUUGGGUUAAGGAGAGUGAGUUUUGGGGUCUGGAGUUGGGUGUGGGGGCUGUGAGUUGGGUUUUGGGGUUGGCAAUAGGGAUUUUGGGGUAAGAGUCUGGGUUUUAGGGUCUUGAGUUGGGUGUGGGGGCCGUGAGUUGGGGUUUGGGGUCUGGCAUUGGGGUUUUGGGGUUGAGCAUUGGGGUUUUGGGGGUUAUGAAUGGAGAUUCUGGGGUAAGAAGUUCGGGUUUUGGGGUCCGGGGCCCUUGAUUUGGGGUUUGAGGUUGUAAAUACGGGUUUGGGGGUAAUUGCUUUUUGGGGUUCCCCAUUGCGGUUCCAUUUUGGGAUUCCCCAUUACUGUUGUGUGUUGGGGUUCCCCAUUGGGGUUCCCCAUUUGUGUUGUCUGUUGGGGUUCCGCUGUAGGAUUUCCUAUUAUGGUUCCAUUUUAGGGUUGUCCGUUGAGGUUUCCAAUUAGGGUUCCCCAUUGAGGUUGGGGUUCCCCAUUGGGGUUUCCCAUUCGAGUUCUAUGUAGGGGUUCCCCAUUGGGGUUCCAUUGUAGGGUUCCCCGUUGGGAUUCCCCAUUGAGGUUGGGGUUCCCCAUUAGGGUUCUGUGUUGGGGUUCCCCAUUGGGGUUUCCUUAUAGGGUUCCCCAUUGUGGUUCCCUUUUAGGAUUCUCCAUUGAGGUUGGGGUUCCCCGUUGUGGUUCCAUUUUAGGGUUCCCCAUUGGGGUUCCUUUUCAGGAUUGUCCAUUGAGCUUGGGGUUCCCCAUUAGGGUUCUGUGUUGGGGGUUCCCCAUAGGGGUUCCAUUUUCGGGUUCCCCAUUGGGAUCCCCCAUUGAGGUUGGGGUUCCCCAUUGGGGUUCUGUGUUGGGGUUCCCCAUUGGGGUUCUGUGUUGGGGUUCCCUACUGGGGUUCCAUUUUAGGGUUCCCCAUUGGGAUCCCCCGUUGAGGUUGGGGUUCUCCAUUGGGGUUCCAUUUUAGGGUUCCCCAUUGGAAUCCCCCAUUGAGGUUGCGGUUCCCCAUUGGGGUUCUGUGUUGGGGUUCCCCAUUGGGGUUCCAUUUUAGGGUUCCCCAUUGGAAUCCCCCAUUGAGGUUGGGGUUCCCCAUUAGGGUUCUGUGUUGGGGUUCCCCAUUGGGGUUCCAUUUUAGGGUUCCCCAUUGGGAUUCCCCAUUGAGGUUGGGGUUCCCCAUUGGGGUUCCCCAUUGGGAUUCCCCAUUGAGGU